AUUGAACGCUGGCGGCAGGCCUAACCCAUGCACGUCGAACGAGUGGCGGACGGGUGAGUAAUGUCUGGGAAACUGCCCGAUGUAGGGGGAUACCUACUGGAAACGGUAGCUAAUACCGCAUACCAUCGGAUGUGCCCCGAUGGGAUUAGAUAGUAGGGGGGGGAAUGGCUCACCCAGGCGACGAUACCUAGCUGGUCUGAGAGGAUUACCAGCCACACUGGAACUGAGACACGGUCCAGACUCCUACGGGAGGCAGCAGUGGGGAAUAUUGCACAAUGGGCGCAAGCCUGAUGCAGCCAUGCCGCGUGUAUGAAGAAGGCCUUCGGGUUGUAAAGUACUUUCAGCGAGGAGGCGUUACUCGCAGAAGAAGCACCGGCUAACUCCGUGCCAGCAGCCGCGGUAAUAC
This 406-nucleotide ribosomal RNA is filed under the name uncultured bacterium. RNAcentral describes it as "partial 16S ribosomal RNA". It matches the Rfam family "Bacterial small subunit ribosomal RNA", at positions 30 to 526 of the family's 1533-position model. The record is from RNAcentral.